This 640-nucleotide ribosomal RNA is filed under the name Cortinarius athabascus. Its description in RNAcentral is "eukaryotic LSU rRNA". The stretch from base 175 to 328 matches the Rfam family "5.8S ribosomal RNA". Lineage: Eukaryota; Fungi; Basidiomycota; Agaricomycetes; Agaricales; Cortinariaceae. The record is from RNAcentral.
AAGGAUCAUUAUUGAAAUAAACCUGAUGGGUUGUUGCUGGUUCUCUAGGGAGCAUGUGCAUGCCUUGUCAUCUUUAUAUCUCCACCUGUGCACCUUUUGUAGACCUUCCAGGUCUAUGUUGCUCCAUUUACCCCAAUGUAUGUUAAUAGAAUGUUGUGUUUAUAAAAUCUAUACAACUUUCAGCAACGGAUCUCUUGGCUCUCGCAUCGAUGAAGAACGCAGCGAAAUGCGAUAAGUAAUGUGAAUUGCAGAAUUCAGUGAAUCAUCGAAUCUUUGAACGCACCUUGCGCUCCUUGGUAUUCCGAGGAGCAUGCCUGUUUGAGUGUCAUUAAUAUAUAUAUCAACCUUCUCUUGUUGGAGUGGUUUGGAUGUGGGGGUUUGCUGGCCUCUUAAAAGGUUCAGCUCCCUUGAAAUGCAUUAGCAGAACGGACCUGUUCAUUGGUGUGAUAACUAUCUACGCUAUUGAAUGUGAGGGGAUGUUCAGCUUUCUAACUGUCCUUGGACAAUUUAUCAUUUUAUGUGACCUCAAAUCAGGUAGGACUACCCGCUGAACUUAAGCAUAUCAAUAAGCGGAGGAAAAGAAACUAACAAGGAUUCCCCUAGUAACUGCGAGUGAAGCGGGAAAAGCUCAAAUUUAAAA